This 490-nucleotide ribosomal RNA is filed under the name uncultured bacterium. RNAcentral describes it as "partial 16S ribosomal RNA". It matches the Rfam family "Bacterial small subunit ribosomal RNA", at positions 29 to 507 of the family's 1533-position model. The record is from RNAcentral.
AGUGAACGCUGGCGGUAGGCCUAACACAUACAAGUCGAACGGCAGCACAGGAGAGCUUGCUCUCUGGGUGGCGAGUGGCGGACGGGUGAGGAAUACAUCGGAAUCUACCUUUUCGUGGGGGAUAACGUAGGGAAACUUACGCUAAUACCGCAUACGACCUACGGGUGAAAGUGGGGGACCGCAAGGCCUCACGCGAUUAGAUGAGCCGAUGUCCGAUUAGCUAGUUGGCGGGGUAAUGGCCCACCAAGGCGACGAUCGGUAGCUGGUCUGAGAGGAUGAUCAGCCACACUGGAACUGAGACACGGUCCAGACUCCUACGGGAGGCAGCAGUGGGGAAUAUUGGACAAUGGGCGCAAGCCUGAUCCAGCCAUACCGCGUGGGUGAAGAAGGCCUUCGGGUUGUAAAGCCCUUUUGUUGGGAAAGAAAUCCUGUCGAUUAAUACUCGGUGGGGAUGACGGUACCCAAAGAAUAAGCACCGGCUAACUUCGUG